RNAcentral lists this ribosomal RNA (468 nucleotides) under uncultured bacterium. RNAcentral's name for it is "partial 16S ribosomal RNA". It matches the Rfam family "Bacterial small subunit ribosomal RNA", at positions 28 to 507 of the family's 1533-position model. The record is from RNAcentral.
GACGAACGCUGGCGGCGUGCUUAACACAUGCAAGUCGAACGGAAAGGCCAUGCUUUUGUGGUGUGCUCGAGUGGCGAACGGGUGAGUAACACGUGAGUAACCUGCCCUUGACUUUGGGAUAACUUCAGGAAACUGGGGCUAAUACCGGAUAGGAGCUCCUGCUGCAUGGUGGGGGUUGGAAAGUUUCGGCGGUUGGGGAUGGACUCGCGGCUUAUCAGCUUGUUGGUGGGGUAGUGGCUUACCAAGGCUUUGACGGGUAGCCGACCGGAGCGGGCGAACGGCCAAAAUGGGAACGAGAGACGGCAGAGACGACUACGGGGGGAAGCAGGGGGGAAUAUUGCACAAUGGGCGGAAGCGUGAUGCAGCAACGCCGCGUGCGGGAUGAUGGCCUUCGGGUUGAAACCCGCUUUCGCCUGUGACGAAGCGUGAGUGACGGUAAUGGGUAAAGAAGCACCGGCUAACUACGUG